Molecule: non-coding RNA, 70 nt
Organism: Podarcis lilfordi (Lilford's wall lizard)
Lineage: Eukaryota; Metazoa; Chordata; Lepidosauria; Squamata; Lacertidae
Source: the annotation of a GenBank genome assembly
GCAUGGUUCAGUUGGUUAGAGCGUGGUGUUGACAACAGAAAGGUUGCGGGUUUGAUCCCCGUAAGAGACA